GCGAACGCUGGCGGCAGGCCUAACACAUGCAAGUCGAACGGACCCUUCGGGGUUAGUGGCGGACGGGUGAGUAACACGUGGGAACGUGCCUUUAGGUUCGGAAUAGCUCCUGGAAACGGGUGGUAAUGCCGAAUGUGCCCUUCGGGGGAAAGAUUUAUCGCCUUUAGAGCGGCCCGCGUCUGAUUAGCUAGUUGGUGAGGUAAAGGCUCACCAAGGCUACGAUCAGUAGCUGGUCUGAGAGGAUGACCAGCCACAUUGGGACUGAGACACGGCCCAAACUCCUACGGGAGGCAGCAGUGGGGAAUCUUGCGCAAUGGGCGAAAGCCUGACGCAGCCAUGCCGCGUGAAUGAUGAAGGUCUUAGGAUUGUAAAAUUCUUUCAGUAGGGACGAUAAUGACGGUACCUACAGAAGAAGCCCCGGCUAACUUCGU
This 431-nucleotide ribosomal RNA is filed under the name uncultured bacterium. RNAcentral describes it as "bacterial SSU rRNA". It matches the Rfam family "Bacterial small subunit ribosomal RNA", at positions 29 to 506 of the family's 1533-position model. The record is from RNAcentral.